GUCCUUUAGUGGCUGAUAAGCAUAAUGACUGGUAUUUCAUGAAAUUGUGUGAGGUACACCUCCCUCAAACCUUAUUAUAUUGUUGGCACAUGUGGUAGUUUGAAU
This is a small nucleolar RNA of Jaculus jaculus (lesser Egyptian jerboa), 105 nucleotides long. RefSeq annotates it as small nucleolar RNA U13. Lineage: Eukaryota; Metazoa; Chordata; Mammalia; Rodentia; Dipodidae. The transcript has a single exon. The record is from RefSeq and is a predicted model, not a curated record.